Molecule: transfer RNA, 72 nt
Organism: Ovis aries (sheep)
Lineage: Eukaryota; Metazoa; Chordata; Mammalia; Artiodactyla; Bovidae
Rfam family: tRNA
About the family: Transfer RNA (tRNA) molecules are approximately 80 nucleotides in length. Their secondary structure includes four short double-helical elements and three loops (D, anti-codon, and T loops).
Source: Rfam
UUCCUGGUGGCUCAGACUGUAAAGCGUCUGCCUGCAAUGCAGGAGACCCGGGUUCGAUUCCUGGGUGGGAAG